GCGGGUGUGGUCCAAUGGUAGAACGUGGGCUUCCCAAGCCCGAGACGAGGGUUCGAUUCCCUUCACCCGCUCCA
This 74-nucleotide transfer RNA is filed under the name Minisyncoccota bacterium. RNAcentral's name for it is "tRNA-Gly". It matches the Rfam family "tRNA". Rfam says of the family: Transfer RNA (tRNA) molecules are approximately 80 nucleotides in length. Their secondary structure includes four short double-helical elements and three loops (D, anti-codon, and T loops). The record is from RNAcentral. Lineage: Bacteria; Bacillati; Minisyncoccota.